Molecule: small nuclear RNA, 101 nt
Organism: Erinaceus europaeus (western European hedgehog)
Lineage: Eukaryota; Metazoa; Chordata; Mammalia; Eulipotyphla; Erinaceidae
Source: Ensembl
GUGCUUAUGCACAUAUACUAAAAUUGGAAUGAUACAGAGAAGAUAAACAUGGCCCCAGUUCAAGGAAAGAAGUAUAAAUCACACAACAUUUAGUUCCCAUU